Molecule: ribosomal RNA, 434 nt
Filed under: uncultured Coprococcus sp.
Lineage: Bacteria; Bacillati; Bacillota; Clostridia; Lachnospirales; Lachnospiraceae
Description: partial 16S ribosomal RNA
Rfam family: Bacterial small subunit ribosomal RNA
Source: RNAcentral
ACGGGAGGCAGCAGUGGGGAAUAUUGCACAGUGGGGGAAGCCCUGAUGCAGCGACGCCGCGUGAGUGAUGAAGUAUUUCGGUAUGUAAAGCUCUAUCAGCAGGGAAGAUAAUGACGGUACCUGACUAAGAAGCACCGGCUAAAUACGUGCCAGCAGCCGCGGUAAUACGUAUGGUGCAAGCGUUAUCCGGAUUUACUGGGUGUAAAGGGUGCGUAGGUGGCAUGGCAAGUCAGAAGUGAAAAUCCGGGGCUCAACCCCGGAACUGCUUUUGAAACUGUCGAGCUAGAGUACAGGAGAGGUAGGUGGAAUUCCUAGUGUAGCGGUGAAAUGCGUAGAUAUUAGGAGGAACACCAGUGGCGAAGGCGACUUACUGGACUGUAACUGACACUGAGGCACGAAAGCGUGGGGAGCAAACAGGAUUAGAUACCCUGGUA